UAAAUUGAGAGUUUGAUCCUGGCUCAGGAUGAACGCUGGCGGCGUGCUUAACACAUGCAAGUCGAGCG
RNAcentral lists this ribosomal RNA (68 nucleotides) under Clostridium sp. RNAcentral's name for it is "partial 16S ribosomal RNA". It matches the Rfam family "Bacterial small subunit ribosomal RNA", at positions 1 to 68 of the family's 1533-position model. Lineage: Bacteria; Bacillati; Bacillota; Clostridia; Eubacteriales; Clostridiaceae. The record is from RNAcentral.